RNAcentral lists this small nucleolar RNA (133 nucleotides) under Dasypus novemcinctus (nine-banded armadillo). RNAcentral's name for it is "Small nucleolar RNA SNORA31 (ENSDNOG00000049375.1)". It matches the Rfam family "Small nucleolar RNA SNORA31". From Rfam's summary of the family: ACA31 (SNORA31) belongs to the H/ACA class of snoRNAs which are thought to guide the sites of modification of uridines to pseudouridines. ACA31 is predicted to guide the pseudouridylation of U3713 in 28S rRNA and U218 in 18S rRNA. The record is from RNAcentral. Lineage: Eukaryota; Metazoa; Chordata; Mammalia; Cingulata; Dasypodidae.
AUGCAUAUCUGACAGACCUGGAGCAGUUAGUGUCUGCCUCUAAGGUUUUCAUUAUAGAUGCAAGAGAAAGAAGGUCCUUGUGCUUUCUGUCUGUCUGGUCCUGAAAGCCAAGAUUGAAUGGAGGGGAAUACAG